Molecule: RNA transcript, 1487 nt
Organism: Triticum aestivum (bread wheat)
Lineage: Eukaryota; Viridiplantae; Streptophyta; Magnoliopsida; Poales; Poaceae
Gene name: vegetative cell wall protein gp1
Exons: 2
Source: RefSeq, a predicted model, not a curated record
AAAUAAACCCACACCCCACCUUGUCCUCCCACUCUCUACACGACCCCAGCCAGCCACCUCCCUCCCAGCGAUGUGCCGCACCUCCCUCCGAUGCGGCGCGCCCCUACCUGCCCCACCUUAUCCGGUGAUGCCGCCCACCACCACCUCCCUCCCCGUGCCACGCCCCACCUCCCUACCCACCUUCUCCGGCGCGGCGCAUACCCUGCCCACCUUCUCAGUUGGCGCCGCCUCCCUUCUCCACUACGCCGCCCCAUCCCGCGGCGCCGGGCUCCCCCCCUCCUGCGCCACGCCGCUUUCCUCCUCGCGCCGCCGCGCCAGCCCCCUCCCGCACCGCCGGGCCGCCCCGCUCCCGCGCGGCGCCACUUCCCUCCUCGCCGCCUCCCUCCCGCCGCGCGCCGCCGCACCAGUUACACCACCGCCCCCGACGGAUCCCGUCGACCCCAGAGACCACCGGCGUGAUGGAGCCCCCCCAACCCCACCGUCCCGACGGAUCCUUGCGCCCUCGAAUCGGGCCGAGCCUGGCACCCACGGAUCCAGCCGAGCCUCGUGUCUCCGGCCAUCUUCCUUGCUGGAUCCAGGGAGGAUCCUGCUGCGCCGUCGCGCCCCUUCCCCUGCUGCGCCGCCGCACCCGGAUCCAGUCAACCUCCAGCCGGUGCCCACCAUCACGCGCAGCCUGGAGUUGGCGGGCGGAUCCAGCCCCGGUCCAUCGUCCUCGCGGCAGAGAGCUAGAUCGAGGGGAGAAGACAUCCCAUGUUUUCCAGCGUCCUCCACCAACCACGGCAACGUGUGCGGCGGCUGACUGCUUCCUAUGGCUACUUGACGGACAACACUUCCGUGGCGGCCGGCGGUGAGUGCCACACCAUCCAACUUCCACCCACAUGCGCGUGCAGUGCACAACCGCUGCGUUGCAGCCACCUUCCAGGUGCUUGGGUCUCCCGUCGAGGGCCUCCAUCGGCAGUGGUCGUAGUAGCUACGGGAGCACAGCUGUAGGUGGCGCUGUGGCAUCAUUGCUUCUGCUACUAACUGCAGACCACUUUGUUGCAGCUUGCAGCCCACAUCAGGGGGGUGAGCAGCUCCCAUGGGAGGAGUUCGGGGGCGGCAGUGCACUCCGGUGGGAGCAGUGGUGCACUCUGGUCAUGGUGCAGUGCACCCCGUUUCAGUAUGCCAUAUCAACACAUCUUUGGCGUUGGGCUUUCUAUCAGCUAGUGAAAAUAGCUUGCUUGUGGCAAGCUGGUGUGUGCUUGAAGCAGUCGUGUGUGUGUGGAUGUGCAGUGCAGUCAGGCGAUGUGUGCAGGUUGGGUGGGAGCCUGUUGCAGUUCGGCAACCAGCCAUACCAUGAUGCAGUUUGAGGAGGUGCAUGCAUGUCCGUGUGGUCUCUGUUGUUCACCGAGUCCGACUUUUCUUUAUUUUGUUUGAUGCUUGCUAUGUAAAAUUUCCAAGGUCUCUUUUUUGUAAUUAUUGAAGAAGUAGUGUUGUUCGUUGUGCCA